AACACGAAACCGCGUAUGGCUCAUUAUAACAGCUAAAAUUUACUUGAUUUUGACUUUUAUCCUACAUGGAUAACUGUGGUAAUUCUGGAGCUAAUACAUGCAUAAAAGAUGUUAUAUUUGAUUGUAACAUUGCGUAUAUUAGUAUUAAAACCAAGCAUUCUUCGGAAUGUUUAGUGUUGAACCUGAAUAUAUCUGCUGAUCGUAUAGUCUUGUACUGACGAUAUGUCAUUCAAGUGUCUGAUCUAUCAACUUUCUAUAUAAGUAUAUAGUACUUAUAUGGUUUUGACGGAUAACGGGGUAUUAGGGUACGACUCCGGAGAAAAUGCCUGAGAAACGGCGUUUACAUCCAAGGAAGGCAGCAGGCGCGAAAAUUACCCACUCUCAGUUCGAGGAGGUAGUGACGAGAAAUGACAAGAUCUAUUCCUUCGGGGAUGGAUCAUUGGAAUGGUUUGAUUUUAAAAUCAUUAAAGAGUAUCAAUGAGAGGGCAAGUCUGGUGCCAGCAGCCG
RNAcentral lists this ribosomal RNA (507 nucleotides) under Panagrolaimus sp. Sourhope farm. RNAcentral describes it as "SSU rRNA". It matches the Rfam family "Eukaryotic small subunit ribosomal RNA", at positions 78 to 576 of the family's 1831-position model. Lineage: Eukaryota; Metazoa; Nematoda; Chromadorea; Rhabditida; Panagrolaimidae. The record is from RNAcentral.